RNAcentral lists this unclassified non-coding RNA (3070 nucleotides) under Acanthaster planci (crown-of-thorns starfish). RNAcentral's name for it is "uncharacterized LOC110986295, transcript variant X5". Lineage: Eukaryota; Metazoa; Echinodermata; Asteroidea; Valvatida; Acanthasteridae. The record is from RNAcentral.
CCCUCCACAAUGCACUGCGGUCCCACCGCCAUGUUCGUCCUUUUCUCAGUGCCUUUAAUUUAAAGACCUGUCUUCAUGGCAUUUUCGGAGUUUUGAGUUCCGUAACCUUUGGCGUUUGUGAAUUGACUUGAUUCCUGUGUAGGAAUAAAGAGUGUUUUCUGAUCAGUUGGUACUGAGUGUUGCUACCGGCCACAUCCCUGAGCGACCCUACCAACUGAUGGCCCUGUGGGGCUUGCGGGGCGACGUCUGCCCCAGGUCCCUCACCAGCUUCUGCUCACCGGGUGACGUCCUCUUGGAAACUGGGCCAGUCAACCCCCUCCUAGCGGGCAACAGGUUCCAUGGCUGGCUCACCACGCUCCACCUCCUCAACUGCGGGCGAACCUGCGCUACAACACGGCACCCAGCCUCAAGCUACAUUGGAUGAUGCUAGCCCUUUGGACUGCUACGCCGCUGGGGCUUUUGUCCUCCACACUCCGUCUGCAGCUCUAUUAUGACCUCUGCCCUGCCGAUGGGGCACUCCUCCUAGGAUACAACCGACCACUCGGGGAUCCUCGCCCAGUUGCAUCUCCAUCUGUCCCGGCUUCCGGCUCCCCUGCACCGGCAAAGACUAAUAAGCAUAAGGCCAUAAUGUCUUCUUCGGCUUCUUCUUUCUCAUCCAAGGCUGAGAAGAAACGCCGCUCCGAUCCGGAUCCGCCCCCAUGGAUAGCAACCCUUCAGUCCCUCUUGGAGGCCUUCUCUCGCCCGCAACAUAGACUCCAAGCUUCAGCCAGCAGCAACAGAGCCUGACCGGGAUUCCCUUCUGGCCAUUCCUCCUCCCUCGCAAGGGGUGCCCUUCGGAGGUUGAAGUUGCCUCUGUUCUCCAGCCAGACCAGUUUUUCCAGCGGGAUACGGUCCUGGAUCGUGGCGACUCGACUCGCUCUGACCACAGUUCGGCUCCUCCCCCUCCUCCUGCGGGCCUUCAUCCGCUCUCUUCUGAGGAUGAACACAUUGACUCUGUCCAGGCUUCAACGUCAAGCUUCAGAGGGUCAAAGCCAUGUGGCAUUGAAUGCUCCCAAAAACCAAACGGCACCCAGGCCAACUGAAAGGGCACCAAGGCCAUUUUGAAUGUUGUUGACUUUAAGAGACUUUCCUUCAAUUUCAACAUGGUGUUUAACUUUCAACCUGAAAUUUCCAUUGUUUCUGUUCACAUGCUGAGCAGUGACACUGCCUGAAUUGUAAAAAGUAAAAACAAAUAAUACUGUGCUGGUGCCAUUCGAUGUUGUCAUUACUUUUCAUGAUGCCAUAUUUUGAAAGUCAUUGUACACGCCUACACAGAAUUACUCACAAACUCAAAAUACAUCCCCUUGAAUAUCUGAGUCAGUUUCAGAUUCAUCCUCGUCAUUUUCCUGUUGCUUCUCAUGUUCUGUGCCACUCUCUUCAUCUGACUGGUUGAGUGAUCCUGCACCUGGUGACUUGGACUCAUCAGAUUCGCUCAGCAUUUUCAGCUUGCCGCAUAGAGGUCCGUUGACCCAGUACCUUUGUGUUGGGUCGACUGGACCUGAUACAGCUACUCCACCGUCUGGAAACUGCUGGCUGUGGAUCAAACUGUACAGGCUCUGAACCCUCUGGUGAAAUACGUUAGAGGGUUUCUGUGAUGCUUAGUCCAAGACGUGAUCUCCAAUCACCCAGAAUUCGCUUGAUAGCAGAGAACUGCCUUUCCCCUCGUGGAGAUGCAAUUGGGAACACCCAAAGAACCCUGACCACAUGCAGAAAGUUGGGGAAUUCCUCAUGCUUCUGAGUUAGCAUUUUGUGCCACAGAUCAACUGAUCUGAGUGUUGUGGUUGUCGUGGCUUUUCAUGGAGAUGCAGUUACCUGGCUGAAGGAGCAUAGGUGAAAGAACAUCAGUGAGCCAAGCAGGGUGAAGUGGCUCCUGUCUACUGUGGUCCUUGGAGGGGCGUCACUUCACAAGAUUGGCCAGUGCAAAUAGGGUGCUCCUGAGCAUAAAGAUUAUAUUUCCCCCCCCCAAAAAAAGUGUCCAGCAUUGUCUUAAACACAGUAAAAAGUGGUUUCAGGCUUGCGUUGUAGAUAUUUUAGUCAAACGAAGAAGGAAAUUUUGCAGGACAGCUUUGGUAUCGGUAUUGUCCCUAGAAAAAGAAGUAAUCUUAUUUAAGGCUGCAGGGGAUCUUUCUGAGAAACCAUUCUGCAACUUUACACUCUUCAAUGUUUGAAAAGUCUUUUCUCUUGGUUGAAUGCAUUGAAAAUUACCCAUGCUUUCCUGGACAACUGAAGGCAUUAUUUCUGUGAUGUCCGGGGAAGACAUACAUUGUACUUGUACAUGUUACUCUUUGCUAGUUUGUGUGCAAACAGGUGUAACAUUGAGGCUUUCUUCUGUGAUGAAAUCAUAGUUUUGCUGAUGAAUAUUGAAAUAACAUUAGCAUAAAACCCAAAAGGCAGUAAAUUACCCUUCGAAAUAGUGAAAGAAAAGCCACAAAAUAAGAUCACAGAGAUGCAUAUUGAAGAUUUGUAUUCAAACAAAUUGAUUGCAGCUACCCUUGAAGUUGGUUUCAAAUUCCAAUUCAUUAAAAAAAAACUCACAAGUAUUUUGCAUUCUGUGCAUUAGAUAGACUGAUUUGUGCACUCAAAGUUGUAGUUUCAAAGUAUCUGUGAAAUUGUUUAUGACAGCACAAAAUCAUAAUUAUGCCUUUUUUACUUUCAUAUAAGUGGGGAUUGUAUAUAACUCUUUAAUUCUUGAGUAAGAUAGAUAAAAAAUGCAGGGUAUUUCUCAGACAUUUCAAUUUUUUUUAAAUUGUUUUUUCUCCCAAAAUGCAGAAGCAGGCAUUGUAAAUUCCAAGUCACAAGGAGCUUGAACAAGAGGCUUGUUUCUACAAGAUUUUCUCAAAGAUGGCCCUGUUUGAAAGCAAGAGGACCUGAAAUUUUUAUCCUAGCAGAAUCUUUCUCAAAGUUAAAAGUUACUUUUCCACUGAAUGAUUUUUGGGACAGAGACAUAUAUAUAAUAUCAAAAUGAAUAUUUUGAAGCAGUUGGUAUAGAAAUGCUUAUACUUACUUGAUUGAGGCAUGAAUUUAUAUCAAA